This 591-nucleotide unclassified non-coding RNA is filed under the name Hevea brasiliensis (rubber tree). The record is from RNAcentral. Lineage: Eukaryota; Viridiplantae; Streptophyta; Magnoliopsida; Malpighiales; Euphorbiaceae.
AGGGUUCAUUUUCUUCUUUUGCUGCUCCAAUUGUAGGGAUUCUUGCUGAGAAAAUGUACGGUUAUGAUUCCAAAUCUGUUGAUCCGAUAUUAGGAUCUCCAAGGGAGGCUUUAGCGCUGUCAAAAGGUCUCUUUUCAAUGAUGGCCGUGCCUUUUGGUUUAUGUUGCUUGUUUUACACCCCUUUGUAUUGGACAUUCAAGCAGGACCGUGAGAAUGCAAGACUUGCUGCUGCAAAAGAAACAGAGAUGAUAUGACGUUCUUUGUUUAUUCAUUCUUCUUGGAUCUUUGGGCUCAUCUGAGAAAAUGCUGCUGCAGCCUGUAGGCCAAAACAACACUGUUCCCUUCUAAUUUUGCAGAUAUUUCAUUUGGUGGUUAGCACUAGGACGGCAGAUUAAGUCUCCAUUACACUUAUAUUAUCUAACAGAUCAUACUCAAAAUUCAAACAUGUAUAGAUGCUGCUGUUGCCUGCCAUCAUCAGGCACUCCAACAUUGAAGUAGUUGCUUCGGCAUUGGCACACUGACAGGGUUACCUGUUUGUCUAUGUUUUUACAUGUAAAUCCUGCCAUUUUUGAAGUAACAAGAAAACUGCAG